UGCAAGUCGAGCGGUAGAGAGGAGCUUGCCUCUCUUGAGAGCGGCGGACGGGUGAGUAAUGCCUAGGAAUCUGCCUAGUGGUGGGGGAUAACGUUCGGAAACGGACGCUAAUACCGUAUACGUCCUACGGGAGAAAGCGGGGGAUCUUCGGACCUCGCGCCAUUAGAUGAGCCUAGGUCGGAUUAGCUAGUUGGUGAGGUAAUGGCUCACCAAGGCGACGAUCCGUAACUGGUCUGAGAGGAUGAUCAGUCACACUGGAACUGAGACACGGUCCAGACUCCUACGGGAGGCAGCAGUGGGGAAUAUUGGACAAUGGGCGAAAGCCUGAUCCAGCCAUGCCGCGUGUGUGAAGAAGGUCUUCGGAUUGUAAAGCACUUUAAGUUGGGAGGAAGGGUUGUAGAUUAAUACUCUGCAAUUUUGACGUUACCGACAGAAUAAGCACCGGCUAACUUCGUGCCAGCAGCCGCGGUAAUACGAAGGGUGCAAGCGUUAAUCGGAAUUACUGGGCGUAAAGCGCGCGUAGGUGGUUCGUUAAGUUGGAUGUGAAAGCCCCGGGCUCAACCUGGGAACUGCAUCCAAAACUGGCGAGCUAGAGUACGGUAGAGGGUGGUGGAAUUUCCUGUGUAGCGGUGAAAUGCGUAGAUAUAGGAAGGAACACCAGUGGCGAAGGCGACCACCUGGACUGAUACUGACACUGAGGUGCGAAAGCGUGGGGAGCAAACAGGAUUAGAUACCCUGGUAGUCCACGCCGU
This 752-nucleotide ribosomal RNA is filed under the name uncultured Pseudomonas sp. RNAcentral describes it as "bacterial SSU rRNA". It matches the Rfam family "Bacterial small subunit ribosomal RNA", at positions 56 to 803 of the family's 1533-position model. The record is from RNAcentral. Lineage: Bacteria; Pseudomonadati; Pseudomonadota; Gammaproteobacteria; Pseudomonadales; Pseudomonadaceae.